CGGGGACAUCCGGGCUCUGAGCCAGACUCUGUGCCGGGCGGGGGCCGGGAAGUGGUGGGAGAAGUCGCCGCCCGCGUCUGUCCAAACUUAGUCCCAAACUCAGGAGGUUCCUGUCCCAAGAAGCAAUGUAAAGUUUGAAACGAGCCACCGCGCCCUGCCUAUAUUAGGUUUUUAAAUAGCAGGAGGCAAAGCUUUUCGGUGUGAUCCUGACUUCACUUGGGGAAAAAGGACACAGGGUCUCACUGUGUUGGCCAGGCUGGAGUGCGGCAGUCUGGAACUCCUGGGCCCAAGUGAUCCUCCAAUCAGCCUCACAAAGCACUGGAAUUACAGAUGGAGUUUUGCUCUUGUUGCCCAGGCUGGAGUACAAUGGCGCAAUCUCGGCUCACUGCAACCUCCGCCUCCGGGUUCAAGUGAUUCUCCUGCCUCAGCCUCCUGAGUAGCUGGGAUUACAGGAGCCUACUACCACGGCCAGCUAAUUUUUUUGUAUUUUUAGUAGAGACGGGGCUUUACCAUGUUGGCCAGGCUGGUUUCAAACUCCUGACCUCAGGUGAUCCACCCGCCUCGGCCUCCCAAACUGCUGGGAUUAUAGGCAUGAGCCACCGUGCCCGGCCCAUAGAUUACUUUUAUAAUCAAGUUUUUCUUUACUUUUUAAAGAGUAAAUUCUCUCACCUCAGGUAGCUCAGAGAGCUGCGCUGGAGGAGAAAAGCCAGUCCUGGCAGGAGCUCUGGUACCUGGGAAGCUGGAUGGAGAGCCUGGGCCAGAAUCCCGGACCCCUCACCUCUGCGGCCUAGCUUUGUGACCUUGGCAAAUCCAUUCUAUGCACCUCCAUUUCCUGUACAGUGGGGAUCCUUAUUUCUCUGGCACAGAUUGGUAUUUGUUCUGUAAAGCCCAGUACCACUU
Molecule: long non-coding RNA, 900 nt
Filed under: Homo sapiens (human)
Lineage: Eukaryota; Metazoa; Chordata; Mammalia; Primates; Hominidae
Description: HSALNT0290015
Source: RNAcentral